AUUGAACGCUGGCGGCAGGCCUAACACAUGCAAGUCGAACGAGUGGCGGACGGGUGAGUAAUGUCUGGGAAACUGCCUGAGGGAGGGGUAUAACUCAUGGCAACGGUAGCUCAUACCGCCUACCAUAGGAUGCUCCCAGAUAGGAUUAGCUAGUAGGUGGGGUAAAGGCUCACCUAGGCGACGAUCCCGAGCCGGUCUGAUAGGAUGACCGGCCACACUGGGACUGAGACACGGUCCAGACUCCUACGGGAGGCAGCAGUGGGGAAUGUUGGACAAGGGGCGCAAGCCUGAUACAGCCAUGCCGCAGGUAUGAAGGAGGCCUUCGGGGUAUAAAGUAAUUUCGUCGGGGAAGCGUUACCCGCAGAAGAAGCACCGGCUAACUCCGUGCCAGCCGCCGCGGUAAUUC
RNAcentral lists this ribosomal RNA (406 nucleotides) under uncultured bacterium. RNAcentral's name for it is "partial 16S ribosomal RNA". It matches the Rfam family "Bacterial small subunit ribosomal RNA", at positions 30 to 526 of the family's 1533-position model. The record is from RNAcentral.